CCUACGGGUGGCUGCAGUCGAGGAUCUUCUGCAAUGGGCGAAAGCCUGACAGAGCGACGCCGCGUGAGGGAUGAAGGCCUUCGGGUUGUAAACCUCUUUCGCCCGUUACGAAUGCCCGGACGUGAAUAGCGUCCUGGUUGACUAAGGCGGGUAAAGAAGCACCGGCUAACUACGUGCCAGCAGCCGCGGUAAUACGUAGGGUGCAAGCGUUACUCGGAAUCACUGGGCGUAAAGGGUGCGUAGGCUGCUUGUUAAGUUGGAUGUGAAAGCCCUCGGCUCAACCGAGGAACUGCGUCCAAAACUGGCGGGCUUGGGGUUGGUAGGGGACAGUGGAACUCCAGGUGGAGCGGUGAAAUGCGUAGAGAUCUGGAGGAACUCCGGUGGCGAAAGCGACUGUCUGGGCCAUACCCGACGCUGAGGCACGAAAGCCAGGGGAGCAA
This 440-nucleotide ribosomal RNA is filed under the name uncultured bacterium. RNAcentral describes it as "bacterial SSU rRNA". It matches the Rfam family "Bacterial small subunit ribosomal RNA", at positions 338 to 771 of the family's 1533-position model. The record is from RNAcentral.